RNAcentral lists this non-coding RNA (27 nucleotides) under Mus musculus (house mouse). The record is from RNAcentral. Lineage: Eukaryota; Metazoa; Chordata; Mammalia; Rodentia; Muridae.
UAAGAGCUAGAAUGCCCCCUCUGGAGC